RNAcentral lists this unclassified non-coding RNA (240 nucleotides) under soil metagenome. RNAcentral's name for it is "partial contains 5.8S ribosomal RNA, internal transcribed spacer 2, and large subunit ribosomal RNA". The record is from RNAcentral.
AACGCACGAGACCUGCGGACCUGCGGAAGGAUCAUUACCGAGUUUACAAAACUCCCAAACCCUUUGUGAACCUUACCUAUCGUUGCUUCGGCGGGAACGCCCCGGCGCCCUCGCGGCCCGGAACCAGGCGCCCGCCGGAGGCCCCAAACCCUCAUGUCUUUAGUGGUUUCCUCCUCUGAGUGACAUAAACAAAUAAAGUAAAAACUUUCAACAAUGGAUCUCUAGAUCGGAAGAGCACAC